Molecule: long non-coding RNA, 81 nt
Organism: Oxyura jamaicensis (ruddy duck)
Lineage: Eukaryota; Metazoa; Chordata; Aves; Anseriformes; Anatidae
Exons: 3
Source: RefSeq, a predicted model, not a curated record
GUCAAACCAGAAUCAGUAUAAGUAGGGAGAUUAGUAAAAUUUAUUGCCUCUUACUAACAAACUAGAGAAAUGAUAAACAAA